AAAGGUAUCAAAAGCUUUUUUCGCUGACCUGCUGUAGCCGGAGGAAUCUCAAAAGAAACUGCUUAUGCUCAAUGCCUCACAAGGGGAAGGUGAGGUUACUCUUCCUCAUUGGGAAUUGAGAUGACCCAAGUUCAAGCUGAUGCCAGAGUGGAGAAGCUUGUGAAUUUCAGCAAGAGACUUACAAUUCCCCUGCCUCACCCCUCCCAACACUUGAGCCAAGGAAUAAGAGGAAGAGGAGCAGGAACAGCAAAAAAAAAAGAGGAGAGAAAAAGAGAACUCUACAUUAUUGUGCCUGAAAUUCCAAAAUUCCCAAGCUGCACUCAGAAACUGGCUCUGUGAGAUACAGUACUGAAUAGUGACAAGCAAAUGCACCAGAUACCGUUGUGAGGAUACAGUAGGAGAGAAUUCCCAGAUACAUUGCAUUCAAGUAUUUGAACCAAUGACUUCUCAUCAUUAUGUUACAGUGGCAUUCAAGGUCUGACCAAUGUGGAUCACAUCCCGUCUCUUAGGAAGGACGGAAUAAGGAUGGGCAUCAAGGAUGAAAUCCACCACUACCUUCAGUGUGUUAUAUCCCAUUGAUCAUCCAAGGAAAUAGCUCUUCAAAGACCAAGACCUCAAACCUAGCAGCAUGCUCCAGCAAUAAUCCCCAUCGUACAAGCAAUGUAUGGUCACUAAGGAUGAUAUGGAAAUAAUCCACUGAACUUACUAUGUUCUCAAGCUCCAAGACUUUGUAUUUUAAGAAUGCAAAACCAAAUACUGAUUUUUUAAAAAC
Mobula hypostoma (lesser devil ray) is the source of this 772-nucleotide long non-coding RNA. RefSeq lists it as uncharacterized. The transcript has 7 exons. The record is from RefSeq and is a predicted model, not a curated record. NCBI's taxonomy places the organism in Eukaryota, Metazoa, Chordata, Chondrichthyes, Myliobatiformes, Myliobatidae.